AGUUGCCAGCAGUUCGGCUGGGCACUCUAAAGGGACGUGCCGGUGUUAAACCGGAGGAAGGUGGGGAUGACGUCAAGUCCUCAUGGCCUUUAUGACCAGGGCUACACACGUACUACAAUGGCCGAUACAAAGGGCAGCGACACUGCGAGGUGAAGCCAAUCCCGUAAAAUCGGUCUCAGUCCGGAUUGGAGUCUGCAACUCGACUCCAUGAAGUUGGAAUCGCUAGUAAUCGUGGAUCAGCAUGCCGCGGUGAAUACGUUCCCGGGCCUU
This 270-nucleotide ribosomal RNA is filed under the name uncultured Desulfobulbus sp. RNAcentral's name for it is "partial 16S ribosomal RNA". It matches the Rfam family "Bacterial small subunit ribosomal RNA", at positions 1113 to 1382 of the family's 1533-position model. The record is from RNAcentral. Lineage: Bacteria; Pseudomonadati; Thermodesulfobacteriota; Desulfobulbia; Desulfobulbales; Desulfobulbaceae.